Molecule: long non-coding RNA, 4043 nt
Filed under: Sus scrofa (pig)
Lineage: Eukaryota; Metazoa; Chordata; Mammalia; Artiodactyla; Suidae
Description: lncRNA (ENSSSCG00000054662.1)
Source: RNAcentral
GGGCCACACCCAUGGCAUAUGGAGGUUCCCAGGCUAGGAACCUCAUCUGUGACCUACACCACAGCUCAGGGCAACGCUGGAUCCUUGACCCACUGAGCGAGGCCAGGGAUUGAACCCACAACCUCAUGGUUCCUAGACGGAUUUGUGAACAACUGAGCCACUAUAGGAACCCCAAUGCCAUGACUUUUUAAAGGAAGGUAACAAAAUCCAGAUACUAAAAAUAUGUAAUUAACUGGUGCCCAUCAUUCAGUCAAAUAUUACUAGAUAUAUAAAUACUAGAGAUGUUCAUAACCAUGAGAAAAAUUAAUCAAUAGAAAGAGACAGAAAUAGCAUAAAUAAUAACAUUGUACAUAUGAAUUCAAAAUAGCUAUUAACAAUAUGCUUAAGGAUUUAAAGAAAGUAUAGAUAUAAUGAAAAGGUAAAUAAAAACUAUAAAAUAAUGUGAUAAGGAACAAUAGUUAUAAAAUUACAUAAAAAAGAACCCAAAGAACUUCCGAAGAAGUUUCAAGGUGGCUAAAAUUCAAAGGGAUGAUAUUAUCAAAUGUUGGUGAGGAUGUAGAGCAACUACUCAGUAAGGCUGUAAAUGGUUCAAGAAGUUUAGAAAGAAUUUAGGCCAUUUUUUUCUAAAACCAAAUGUAUAGUCAGUUUACUCAGUAAUUAUUCUCAUUGUUUACUCAAAAAAAAAAAAAUGAAAACAGUUAAGGACAUACAGGAUUGCUCAUAGCAGCUUUAUUUAUAAUUUCAAGAACCUGUAACUAUCCCAGGUGUCCAUUAAAAGAAUGUUUUGAAAAGGUGAUAUACAUUCAUGAUUGCAACAACUGGAAUUAACUUCUAAAAUAUUAUGCUGCAUGUAAGAAGAUUUAUACAGAAAAGUAGAUACCAUAUGAUUCCAUUUAGAUGAAGUGGAGAAUGGACAAAAUUAAAUCUUGGUUAAAAAAAAAUCAGAAUAGCAAAUUACAUUUCUGGGGUGUAGUAGGAACCAUUGAGAAGGGCCAAAAGGAAAUUUCUUAGGGAAAAUGCUUUAUAUUUUUACAAGUAUUUUAUAGGGUUAUUAGUACCAUCUUUACACUGGGCAAGCAAGGCUCUGACUCAGCCUCCAUGCCCCAGUAGACCCACACUUUGUAAUACCUUUUUAUUAUUAUUUAUUUUAGUGCAGUUGAGUUUAUCAGCUUUUUUUCUUUAUGGCCUUUUGUGAUUUUUUUAAAAGAAAUUUGUUAAGUAUAGAUGACUUACAAUGUUGUGUUAGUUUCAGGUGUAGAGAAAAGUGAAUCAGUUAAACAUAUACAUAUAUCAUUCCCUUUCAGAUUCUUUUCUCAUAUGGGUUAUUACAACAGUAUUGAUUAGAUUUCUCUGUGCUACACUGUAGGUCCUUUUUACUUAUAUAUUUUAUAUAUAGUAGUGUGUAUGUGUUGAUCCCAACUCCCCAUCCCUCUAUCCCCACAUGUUUCCCCUUUGGUAAUUAUAAGUUUGGUUUUGAAAUCUUUAAGUCUAUUUCUGUUUUGUGCAUGAGUUCUUUUGUAUCAAUUUUUAUUAGACUCCACAUAUUAGUUAUAUGAUAUUUGUAUUUGUCUUACUUCACUUUGUAUGAAAAUUUGUAGGUCCACCCAUGUUGUUGCCAAUGGCUUAUUUCAUUUUUUAAGGCUGAGUAAUAUUCCACUGUAUAUAUGUACUACAUAAAGUUUUCUAAAUACAAUCUAUUGUCUAGGUCCAUAGGUACAGCAAAACCAUCUGGAAAAGGUUGACUGAAGCCCUAAUCUGCCUCUGUGCAGACCCUGUUCCCUAUUUCUUUUUGGAGGAAUGAUUUAUAAUCUUCUACCUGCAUAUAAGAUUGAAUGGAAAGCCCAAGGAUCUCCUAAACUUGUGCACUGUGGUGGUCUUGAGGCUCUGUGGACCAUUAACAUAAGGAGUAAAUUGUCCUCCUGCCAUGGCCAAAGAUAUUUCUUUCAUAGCUUUGCAAUAUUGAGCAGUUGGAAUAUUUCUGACACACUAAUUUAGGAUGAUUUAUAUGGAAACGUACACCCAAAAUAAUAAUAACUGGGAUCCCACAUACCUAAACUGUCCUUCUAGGCUACACAAUUGCUUGCAUUUGUCAAAACUCAGUAAAUUCAUACUUAAGACUUGUGAAUAACUUGCUUUUUAUCAAAAGUAAUAAUUUCAAAUAAAUAUUGAACUCUAGCUAGUACUAUUCCUGCUAAUAUUUUUAGGCCAGAGUGUGCUGAAAUCUGAAAAUUCCAUUGAGAUGCAUCAAAAAUUAAAAUAAAUAUUUGGAUUAAUAAUCAGAUAGAAAUAGAUAUGUUAUAUGUCAAGUAUAAUAAAAAUGUUAACAGUAAAUCAUAGAUGUAAAGGUAUUUAUGGUAAAAUUCUUUCAAUUGUGUUCUCCUUUUGAAAUUUUUUCAUAAUAAAAAGUGGAAAUAACAGAUAUAAUAAAUAUGCCCAAGGAUUAAAAGAAAAUAUGAUUAUAUCAAGGAGACAGAAAUGAAAGUAAAAAAACCUAAGAUGGAUAUUAGUUUAGUGACAAGCAGAGUUCUUAGAUGGCCCCCAAUAUUCUUGGCCCCCAAUAUACAUACCAUGUAUAACAUCCUCCCCUUGAGUGUGGUGGGAACUGUAGGUGUAAUGGAUGUUACACCUUGAUAUUAGGUGUUACACCUUGAUAUUAGGUGUUACUCUUAAUAUUAGGUUACUGAUUAGUUACAUUUGAGUUAAUCAAUAGGUGGAUUAUCCUAGGUGGGCCUGGACUAAUCAGCAAAGCCUUAAAAAAUGUGGAGAGUAAGAGAAAAAAAUCUACUGCUGGCGUGGAAGAAAGUGAAAAUGUCAUAUUGCACACUGCCUCUGGAGCCACUUCAGGCACCUUCUGUACCUAAAAGUAAUCUGUGGUAGAAAGCUAGCCUGAAUCCAAACACUUUAUCAUUUAGCUACAAGGAAACGAAUUCUAGGUAACAAUCCCUGAGCUUGGUAGUGUGCCCCAAACUUCAGCUGAUAAUCUAAGCCCCAGCUGACACCUUGAUUUCAGUCUGGUGAGUCCCUGAGCAGAGAACCCAGCUAACUCAAACUCAGAUAUCUAACCUAUGGAAACUAUGAGAUAAUAAAUAUGUGUGGCUUUAAGCACAUUUUUUUUCGGUAAUAUGCUGCAUAGAAAAAGCAGACUAAUGCAGUUGCCUAUUGCUAUCAGAGGGCCUCUUCCCCUAAGCCUUCUCAGUGGAGAGUUAAGAUUGUUUUCUAAAUGAUAUGCUAUAAGGAACCAUGAUUCUUUACACAAGUGACUGAUUCAAGGUUUGGCAUGAAGAAAUAAAAGAUGAGCACAGACUAUAUUGUUGUGUCGGAAGCAAGGACGUAUUUAAAGUAUGACUGGAAAAUGUCAAAAUUACGCAGGAGCAAUCUUCAACGAGAGAUGCCUACAGGACAAAUUUAGAACAAUUGCAGCAUCAAAAGAAAAUACUGUUACUAUUGUAGUAUACCCAAUGAAUAAAAUAGGAAUGAGUCCAUACUUAUAUAAAUGAAUAAAUCAAAAAAUGGUAAGGAUGAUAAGCCAUGGAAUGUAUACAUAUUUUUCAAAGAUCUUUCUCCCAAAAUAUAAAUUGUUUACAGAGAAUAAAAGAGUAGUUUUGCAAUGUAGGAUCCUGGCAGACACUACUUUCAUCAAGUGUUCAGAGCGAAUGCCACUUGUAUUAGGACAAAUUGCACUCAUGUGAUGCCUGAGCAUACAGUGAGAAGAACACAAUAUUACUUCUCAUUUAAAGAUUCAUUAAGUAACUUGAGUCUAAGAAACAUUAAAAGAGGUGACAUUCUGGAGUUCCCACUGUGGUGCAGCAGAAAUGAAUCCAACUAGUAUCCACGAGGAUGUGGGUUUGAUCUCUGGCCUCGCUCAGUGGGUUGGGGAUCUGGAGCUGUGGCGUAGGUUGCUGACAAGGCUGGGAUCCUGUUUUGCUGUGGCUGUGGCUUAGACUGGCAGUUGUAGCUCCCAUUUGACCCCUAGCCUGGGAACUUCCAUAUGGUGCAGGUGUGGACCUAAAAAGCCAAAAAAAAAAAAAAAAAAAAAAAAAAAA